Molecule: ribosomal RNA, 245 nt
Filed under: uncultured bacterium
Lineage: Bacteria
Description: partial 16S ribosomal RNA
Rfam family: Bacterial small subunit ribosomal RNA
Source: RNAcentral
UACGGAGGAUCCGAGCGUUAUCCGGAUUUACUGGGUUUAAAGGGUGCGUAGGCGGGCGCGUAAGUCAGCGGUGAAAUGCGGGGGCUCAACCUUCGAGCUGCCGUUGAUACUGGGCGCCUAGGAUUCGGUCGAGGCGGGCGGAAUGCGCGGUGUAGCGGUGAAAUGCUUAGAUAUCGCGCAGAACGCCGAUUGCGAAGGCAGCUCGCCGGGCCGAGAUUGACGCUGAGGCACGAAAGCGUGGGGAU